This is a long non-coding RNA of Lolium rigidum, 1814 nucleotides long. RefSeq lists it as uncharacterized. The transcript is spliced from 3 exons. The record is from RefSeq and is a predicted model, not a curated record. NCBI's taxonomy places the organism in Eukaryota, Viridiplantae, Streptophyta, Magnoliopsida, Poales, Poaceae.
CACAAAUGCAACUGCUUAAAAUAUAUCCCCAUAGCAGUACAAGUAGCCAUGUUACUCCUCCAAUACUACUUUGCCUUCUCUCAUAACUUCUCGGCAUCAUGCUCCAUUUCUCAUGCUUGAAUUGGCUAAUUUAUAGCUUGCGUAAGAUCCUUAUCCUAAAAGUUCAUGCGCAUGAUACUGCAAUUCAUAUCAGGGUUUAAAUUAUUCUUUAGGAGCAGUGCUUUAAGUAAGAAGCAGGAAAGCGUUUCACCUAAUAUAGACCCUGAUUCUUUGUUCAAAUUACAGUGAACAUGACCUCUCUUUUUUGUAACAUGAACUUCUGACAUUGGUCUUGGAUCUUAUCGAAAAAAAAAUUCGGACCUCUCUUGCUCUGGUGAUAAUCAUAUUUCUUUUUCUGUAGGAUUCUUCACGUUCUGCUACUUAUCAAUUUUUUGAAUCACAUUUGGUGAACCCGAGUGUUUUACCGGUUUCUAAGUUUUCUUCAAUUUAGCAGUACUAAUUAGUAUUUAACAUGCAAAUGUACCAGUUAAAUUAUAAAGACUUUCUUCUAAAAACUAAAAGCAACAUGAAAUUAUCAACAUACUGUUAGGGUAACAACUAAAUGAUGUAGAUUCAGUUGUUCAUAUGGAGAAAAGGCUAGACUAAUAUGGUUUCCUAAGAGGUGUCUUUAUAGUAAAUGAUUGGUAGCAUGAUCAUAUAUUUGGUUUGGAAGCUAGCACUGUAGUUGGCAUUAAAAGUGAGGCCAUCUUGGUUAGUCCAUGGACAGCCGACCAAUGGGUGCGUGCAUAUAAUAAUUAUUUGGUGAGUUGGGCUUGCCUUUUACUACUAUCAUUUGUGUCACUCAAGUAACAAUUUUACUAGAUAUGUAAACUGUUACAAUUUGACCGAGCGAUGAAUUAAACUAUUAUAAUUUUAGAGAUAGACGAAAGAUUUCAAACCUUAUUAGGUAUUUGCCUUGAAAUAAACUUUUUUUUAUUAUGCUAAGAUAGUGCGGAGCAUACAUAUAGUUCACCAUGAACAGUUGCAGUUAACUUUUUUUUCCUUUCUUUUCCUGAUAUUAUGUGUACUAUUAUCAGCUACGGUUUGCUCAUUUCCACUUGCUUUUCCUCUGUAUGAGACAUUAAUCAAAAAUCUGAAGUAUGCUCCUCCGGAUUAUGGUUUGUAUGUCUUAGAUGCAGAGAGAAAGGGUGGAGCAUGGUGGGUAAUCUUUCCCGUGUUUGGUCUUUUGUUCUUUUAUACAAUCUUCAGUCCUGGGAGGGGCAUUUCUUCACUUUCCAGUUGCAAGCCUUCAAUUCGUACCAGUGUUCACGGCUGACUGAAGAUAUGAUGGUGCAGGAAACCUAGAAGAGUAGCAAUGCAAGCAAUGUUGGUGAAAGAUUUUGUACCUCAAGGGUCUCGGAGGAAUGUUGUUGUGUGUGUUUCCUGCAUCUGGGAGACCAUUGAUCACCAACAAAAUGUCUAUGAACUGGGUUCAUUGUCGUUGACCAACUACUACCUUCUAAACAUUGAGGAUCUGCCCGACCCAAAUGCAAAUAGCAGAUCACCCAUACAAGAUCAGAAUUACAUAGAACACAAAAAUCACCCAGGUUGUACUGGACUUGAAAACUUUCCUCUGUAUGUGAUGAUGCGCUGCCAUGCAGAGGAAAUAAUUUUCUCCUAUCAGAUUUCCAGCAAUGCAUGUGUAUUAAAUGCAUACUGUAUUGUAUGCUCUCAUGUUCAUUCACUUCUUUCUUUUACUGUGAGUUUCAAAUAUUGUUGGAGUGGUGACUAGAUUAACUGAUCUUAUCCCCAUCAAAGACAAAUCUGGAACCAAA